Long non-coding RNA from Daktulosphaira vitifoliae (grape phylloxera), 776 nucleotides. RefSeq lists it as uncharacterized. Lineage: Eukaryota; Metazoa; Arthropoda; Insecta; Hemiptera; Phylloxeridae. The record is from RefSeq and is a predicted model, not a curated record. The transcript has 2 exons.
AUCAGUUGACACUUCUAUAAACAUUUUGCAAAUUGUUCAUGUAAUUAUCAUUUAUAUAUGUAUUUUUCAUUCUAUUAUUAGUGUAAUGUUUAAUUUCCUUAUAUUUUUGGUAAAUAUUCAUUUUAUUCUACAAUUAUAUUUAUGGUUUAUGUUUUAGAUUACUUUGAAUUUUACCUUGAAGACCAAAUAAAUGAGAUGGUGGAGUCUUGUUAGCAGCUACAGCAGCAGCAGCCGCCGCAAACCAUCCACCAUAUAAUAAAGAUGAGUAUGGAAGACUUUGACCGUUAAGUUCUGUUAAACUAUCAAAUCCUAAAACAAUAUAACUUCUGUUUGUUUAAAAUUUACCCUAUUUUUAAAUAUGUACAGCUUAGCAUUAAUUUAUAAUUUUUAUUUAUUAAUUGUAUUUAUUUAUUUAUUAAUAGUGAAAUAAAGGCGAUUUGUUGUACAAAUAAAAUAAUAUGCAUCUUGUACUUUUUGACUUACCCACACGCAAAGGUUCAACAUGAAAAGGUCUGUCUGAUUCUGAAGACGCAGGGCCUGUGACGGUACUACCAUUUGCACUAAAUCUUCCCAAAAUACGAUCAAUUGAAAAUUUGUGAUAUGAUUUGGCACAUGGUUCAUCAGCACUACUAUUGUUGGAUGAUUCUGAAUGUCUUAAAGGUGAUUUGAUUAGGUUUCUAUCGUAGACAGUAUAAGACUGUUGUUCAUAACUUAUACGAUGUACUUCAUCAGAAUCGGAAGAUGUAUCCAUGAUACUAUAUUCUGUAAAAUACUAA